Molecule: ribosomal RNA, 464 nt
Filed under: uncultured bacterium
Lineage: Bacteria
Description: SSU rRNA
Rfam family: Bacterial small subunit ribosomal RNA
Source: RNAcentral
AGGACGAACGCUGGCGGCGUGCCUAAAACAUGCAAGUCGAACGGUGUAGCAAUACACAGUGGCGAACGGCGAAGUAAUACAUAAGAAACGUGCCCUGAAGACCGGGAUAGUCAUUGGAAACGAUGGGUAAUACCGGAUGUGGUCACUCUUUGGCAUCAAAGAGUGAUUAAAUGGUUUUUCGCUUCAGGAGCGUCUUAUGGCCUAUCAGGUAGUUGGUGGGGUAAUGGCCUACCAAGCCGACGACGGGUAGCGGGUCUGAGAGGAUGAUCCGCUCGAGUGGGACUGAGACACGGCCCACACACCUACGGGUGGCAGCAGUUGGGAAUCUUGCACAAUGGGGGAAACCCUGAUGCAGCGACGCCGCGUGGAGGAUGACGGGUCUAGGCCUGUAAACUCCUUUUAACGGGAAGACUUAGGACGGUACCCGUUGAAUAAGGACCGGCUAACUACGUGCCAGCAGCCGC